AUCCUCUUAAUUCUCAAAUUUCUUGUGAUAUAUUUGUAGAUCUUGUUGUUGUGGUCAUGCUGAGCUUCGAAUCAUAAAAUUCCAUGCACUAUUGAAUGAGUUAGGGUUGUUUAAAGUUUUGUGCAUGAAUAUUGUUUGCUUCGAUUCGCUCAUGAUAGUUGGAAUUAGGAUAAACCAUGCAUGGAUUCGUGACCUAGGAUGAAAGAUCUACACAAU
RNAcentral lists this long non-coding RNA (216 nucleotides) under Lathyrus oleraceus (garden pea). Its description in RNAcentral is "Pisum sativum (pea) long non-coding RNA (PSAT_LNC042002)". Lineage: Eukaryota; Viridiplantae; Streptophyta; Magnoliopsida; Fabales; Fabaceae. The record is from RNAcentral.